Zonotrichia leucophrys gambelii is the source of this 487-nucleotide long non-coding RNA. RefSeq lists it as uncharacterized. The record is from RefSeq and is a predicted model, not a curated record. The transcript has 2 exons. Lineage: Eukaryota; Metazoa; Chordata; Aves; Passeriformes; Passerellidae.
CCUUUUGGAGGCUGUUUAAAUAUUUACCUUCUCUGCCCUUCUCAUCCCACCAUCCUUCAAACCAGAGAAGGGAACAUUUAUCCACAUGCAGCCUGGAAGAUGCUUUGGGGUAAAAAAAAAAAGAAGAAGAAGAGAAAGAAAAUCAGAGCAGAAUGCCGUUUUUGAGAACGCCCUCCGCCUCCGCGGCAUCGCACGGAUCUGCAGCUUCCGCCGCCCCCGCAGGAGCCCCGCGCUGCCCGGCUCCCCCGCACACACAUGCGCGAUGUGCGAUGGGGGCUUCCCCCGGGCCCCCGGGCAGCGCUGGGAAAGGCCAAACCUGCCACGGUCCUUUCACAGCUCUGCAAGAGCAUCCCCGCCUCGCUGGCGCAUCCCCGCAUCCCGCACCGCGGUGACAGCCCCGGGCCGGGGGAAGCGCUCGGUCCCCGCUCCAUCGUCCCUCGCUAGGAAGGAUUCCCGCUAAAUAAACAGCAGCUGCUGGUGAAGCGGA